AUAGGUGGCAAGCGUUGUCCGGGAAUUAUUGGGGCGUAAAGCGCGCGCAGGCGGUCCUUUAAGUCUGAUGUGAAAGCCCACGGGCUCAACCGUGGGAGGGUCAUUGGAAACUGGGGGACUUGAGUGCAGAAGAGGAGAGUGGAAUUCCACGUGUAGCGGUGAAAUGCGUAGAGAUGUGGAGGAACACCAGUGGCGAAGGCGACUCUCUGGUCUGUAACUGACGCUGAGGCGCGAAAGCGUGGGGAGCGAACAGGAUUAGAUACCCUGGUAGUCCACGCCGUAAACGAUGAGUGCUAAGUGUUAGAGGGUUUCCGCCCUUUAGUGCUGCAGCUAACGCAUUAAGCACUCCGCCUGGGGAGUACGGUCGCAAGACUG
Molecule: ribosomal RNA, 375 nt
Filed under: uncultured organism
Description: partial 16S ribosomal RNA
Rfam family: Bacterial small subunit ribosomal RNA
Source: RNAcentral